Molecule: ribosomal RNA, 346 nt
Filed under: uncultured eukaryote
Lineage: Eukaryota
Description: SSU rRNA
Rfam family: Eukaryotic small subunit ribosomal RNA
Source: RNAcentral
AUAGCGUAUAUUAAAGUUGUUGCAGUUAAAAAGCUCGUAGUUGAAACUUGGGUCUGGCUAGCGGGUCCGCCUCACCGCGUGCACUUGUCCGGCUGGACCUUUCCUUCUGGAGAACCUCAUGCCCUUCACUGGGUGUGUUGGGGAACCAGGACUUUUACUUUGAAAAAAUUAGAGUGUUCAAAGCAGGCCUUUGCUCGAAUACGUUAGCAUGGAAUAAUAGAAUAGGACGUGCGGUCCUAUUUUGUUGGUUUCUAGGAUCGCCGUAAUGAUUAAUAGGGAUAGUCGGGGGCAUCAGUAUUCAAUUGUCAGAGGUGAAAUUCUUGGAUUUAUGGAAGACUAACUACUG